This 433-nucleotide ribosomal RNA is filed under the name uncultured bacterium. Its description in RNAcentral is "partial 16S ribosomal RNA". It matches the Rfam family "Bacterial small subunit ribosomal RNA", at positions 29 to 507 of the family's 1533-position model. The record is from RNAcentral.
AACGAACGCUGGCGGCAUGCCUAACACAUGCAAGUCGAACGAGACCUUCGGGUCUAGUGGCGCACGGGUGCGUAACGCGUGGGAACCUGCCCUUAGGUUCGGAUUAACUCCCCGAAAGGGGUGCUAAUACCGGCUAUUGUCUCCGGACCAAAGAUUUAUCGCCUUUGGAUGGGCCCGCGUUGUAUUAGCUAGUUGGUAGGGUAAAAGCCUACCAAGGCGACGAUCCAUAGCUGGUCUGAGAGGAUGGGCAGCCACACUGGGAGUGAGAAACGGCCCAGACUCCUACGGGAGGGAGCAGUGGGGAAUAUUGGAAAGUGGGCGGAAGCCUGAUCCAGCUAGGCCGCGUGAGUGAUGAAGGCCGUAGGGUUGUAAAGCUCUUUUACCCGGGAUGAUAAUGACAGUACCGGGAGAAUAAGCUCCGGCUAACUCCGUG